Long non-coding RNA from Cryptomeria japonica (Japanese cedar), 639 nucleotides. RefSeq lists it as uncharacterized. The record is from RefSeq and is a predicted model, not a curated record. The transcript has 4 exons. Lineage: Eukaryota; Viridiplantae; Streptophyta; Pinopsida; Cupressales; Cupressaceae.
UAGGCCCUUUAACAUAAGGGAAAGGGGUGGGAAGCAAGUGAGAUGGCAGCGUCUGGAGUUCGAAUCCCAUUCACUCAAAUAUAGACGUUAUUGCCUGUGAUAGAAGCUCAACGAAAAUAUGCAAUACAUUCAUCAUCGAGUGGGACAAAUAUCUUCACUCUGAUGAUUAAAACGCUCAACCAGCAGGAAAUAUUUAGGCGAAUUUUUAGACAGCUCGAUGUGCAGCUGCAAAUUAGAUGAAAUGCGACAAGCCGAUGGAAGUGAAGGUCUCGUACAAGCCCUCACCAUCUGUGUAGAAGACUGGUUAAAUAGGAGACCUCCAAGCUCAAGCUUAAGGGGCCCUGCCUCUCAGCCAAAAGCUUCUAGAUUUUUCACAGAAGUUAAACAAAGAGAGCCACAGGAAUAUUGGAAAGGCUUGAAAAUGAGUGUCCGAGAUCAAGAAAUGCCCAUGGUGAGCUGUCUGGUUGCAGUCACAUUAAGGUAAGGUUUUUGUUUUCGCCAUAUCUACAUUUACUUCUCAAAUAAGAUUGAAAUCUUUGGUAAAUAGUAUGUUUUAAAUCAAUGUAUUCAAAGAGAGUACAAAGUUCGAAUUAUCUAAUACAGUUAGAUGUGAAGCUGCAUCAGCUUUUAAUUCUCUGU